RNAcentral lists this ribosomal RNA (301 nucleotides) under uncultured bacterium. RNAcentral's name for it is "partial 16S ribosomal RNA". It matches the Rfam family "Bacterial small subunit ribosomal RNA", at positions 509 to 807 of the family's 1533-position model. The record is from RNAcentral.
CAGUAGCCACGGUAAUACGUAGGUGGCAAGCGUUGUCCGGAAUUAUUGGGUGUAAAGGGCUCGCAGGCGGUUUCUUAAGUCUGAUGUGAAAGCCCCCGGCUCAACCGGGGAGGGUCAUUGGAAACUGGGAAACUUGAGUGCAGAAGAGGAGAGUGGAAUUCCACGUGUAGCGGUGAAAUGCGUAGAGAUGUGGAGGAACACCAGUGGCGAAGGCGACUCUCUGGUCUGUAACUGACGCUGAGGAGCGAAAGCGUGGGGAGCGAACAGGAUUAGAUACCCCGGUAGUCCCUGUCUCUUAUAC